Helianthus annuus (common sunflower) is the source of this 635-nucleotide long non-coding RNA. RefSeq lists it as uncharacterized. Lineage: Eukaryota; Viridiplantae; Streptophyta; Magnoliopsida; Asterales; Asteraceae. The transcript has 2 exons. The record is from RefSeq and is a predicted model, not a curated record.
AUUACACUUUUCGUCCUUUAUGUUUGUAGCGGGUUGCAAUGGAUGAUCUUUAACUUCAAUAAUUACAGUCACAAUCCUUUAUUUAGAAAACUCAUUACACCUUUCGUCCUUUAAGACUAACCAGGUUAAAAAUUUAAGUUAAAUCCAUUCAUUUAAGGGUAUCAUGGUCAUUUCAUGCUUUUAUUUAAAUUUUUCUUAAUAAAUAAAACAAAAAAUUACAUAUAUAACAUAUCUCCCCCAUUUCUCCCCCAAUUCCUAACCCUAAUAAUAACUCAUCCAUCUUCAUCCAUUGCUUCUUUCUCCUUCUUCACCCUAUCACCAGGCAUAACUAUCUUCGACUCCUCAUCUUUAUAAUUCAAAAUCGAAGUCACCUUCCCCGUCACAUCAGUAGUCCUCAUAUAAAACUACGGUCUAUACCAUCAACAGUCUCAGGUACAAGUAUAACUAUCAAAAGGUUUGUUGUGGAGAGAGGGAGAAAGAAGCAUGGAGAGAGGGAGAAAGAGGGAGAAAGAAGAGUAAUUAGGGUUAGGAAUUAGGGGAGAAUUGGGGGAGAUUUAUUUAUUAAGAAAAAUUUAAAUAAAAGCAUGAAAUGACCAUGAUACCCUUAAGUGAAUGGAUUUAACUUAAUUUUUUAA